GAUGAACGCUAGCUACAGGCUUAACACAUGCAAGUCGAGGGGCAGCAUGAACUUAGCUUGCUAAGUUUGAUGGCGACCGGCGCACGGGUGAGUAACACGUAUCCAACCUGCCGAUGACUCGGGGAUAGCCUUUCGAAAGAAAGAUUAAUACCCGAUGGCAUAGUUCUUCCGCAUGGUAGGACUAUUAAAGAAUUUCGGUCAUCGAUGGGGAUGCGUUCCAUUAGCUUGUUGGCGGGGUAACGGCCCACCAAGGCAUCGAUGGAUAGGGGUUCUGAGAGGAAGGUCCCCCACAUUGGAACUGAGACACGGACCAG
Molecule: ribosomal RNA, 314 nt
Filed under: uncultured bacterium
Lineage: Bacteria
Description: bacterial SSU rRNA
Rfam family: Bacterial small subunit ribosomal RNA
Source: RNAcentral